Molecule: ribosomal RNA, 460 nt
Filed under: uncultured bacterium
Lineage: Bacteria
Description: partial 16S ribosomal RNA
Rfam family: Bacterial small subunit ribosomal RNA
Source: RNAcentral
CCUACGGGUGGCAGCAGUGAGGAAUAUUGGUCAAUGGGCUCGAGCCUGAACCAGCCAAGUAGCGUGAAGGAUGACUGCCCUACGGGUUGUAAACUUCUUUUAUAAAGGAAUAAAGUGAGGCACGUGUACCUUUUUGUAUGUACUUUAUGAAUAAGGAUCGGCUAACUCCGUUCCCGCCGCCGCGGUAAUACGGAGGAUCCGAGAGGUAUCCGGAUUUGUUGGGUUUAAAGGGAGAGUAGAUGGGUUUUUAAGUCAGUUGUGAAAGUUUGCGGCUCAACCGUAAAAUUGCAAUUGAUACUGGCAGUCUUGAGUACAGGUGAGGUAGGCGGAAUUCGUGGUGUAGCGGUGAAAUGCUUAGAUAUCACGAAGAACUCCGAUUGCGAAGGCAGCUUACUAACCUGCCACUGACAUUGAUGCUCGAAAGUGUGGGUAUCAAACAGGAUUAGAUACCCGGGUAGUC